AACGAACGCUGGCGGCAUGCCUAACACAUGCAAGUCGAACGAGACCUUCGGGUCUAGUGGCGCACGGGUGCGUAACGCGUGGGAACCUGCCCUUAGGUUCGGAAUAACUCCCCGAAAGGGGUGCUAAUACCGGAUAAUGUCUUCGGAUCAAAGAUUUAUCGCCUUUGGAUGGGCCCGCGUUGGAUUAGCUAGUUGGUAGGGUAAAAGCCUACCAAGGCGACGAUCCAUAGCUGGUCUGAGAGGAUGAUCAGCCACACUGGGACUGAGACACGGCCCAGACUCCUACGGGAGGCAGCAGUGGGGAAUAUUGGACAAUGGGCGAAGGCCUGAUCCAGCAAUGCCGCGUGAGUGAUGAAGGCCUUAGGGUUGUAAAGCUCUUUUACCCGGGAUGAUAAUGACAGUACCGGGAGAAUAAGCUCCGGCUAACUCCGUG
Molecule: ribosomal RNA, 433 nt
Filed under: uncultured bacterium
Lineage: Bacteria
Description: partial 16S ribosomal RNA
Rfam family: Bacterial small subunit ribosomal RNA
Source: RNAcentral